RNAcentral lists this ribosomal RNA (253 nucleotides) under uncultured bacterium. RNAcentral's name for it is "partial 16S ribosomal RNA". It matches the Rfam family "Bacterial small subunit ribosomal RNA", at positions 524 to 776 of the family's 1533-position model. The record is from RNAcentral.
GACAGAGCGCGCGGGUGUUAUUCGUUUUGAUUGGGUGUAAAGGGUACGUAGGUGGUUCUUGGUGUUCUGGUGAAAAUAGCGGAGAGUUCCUACGCGAUAUGCCUUUGAAGAAGAGAACUAGUGUUAGAGAGAGGUUGGGGCAAAUCUUUAUGUAAGGGUAAAAUCUUAGAAGAUAAGGAUGAACGUCAGUUGGCGGAGGCGCCCGUCCCGCUCUAACAGACGCUGAGGUACGGAAGCCUAGGUAGCAAACGGG